UAUCUACCUGCACAGGUGGAAGAUAUGUGGGUCUGGAACUCCGGUAAACAAAAAGAUCCUAUUGGGACCUCUAUUUGGUUGACUUUGUGUCACUUUUUACUAGGGCUAAUUGUCUAAUGUCUCUUUCCACUAGUGUAUGCCUCCUUGAGAACAUGAACCUUUAAACAACAACAACAACAACAACAACACCACCACCACCACCACCACCACCAAGACAAAGUCCUGUCUGCUCUCCCAGGCUAGAGUGCAGCGUGCAAUCGUGCAAUCGCAGCCUACAGUAAGGUAGAAUUCCUGGCCUCAAGCUAUCCUCCUGCCCCACCGUGGCCUCCUGAAGGGCUCCGAUUACAGAAGGGAGCCACUGCACCCAGCCAAACCUGUCUUUUAUUCUGUAUCUCCUGUGCCCAGAGCAGUCCCUGGCCCUGAUAAGGGCUCAACAAAUAUGUUGAGUGAAUGAACAAGUACAUUCAGUAGUGUAGGGAUUGAUA
RNAcentral lists this long non-coding RNA (485 nucleotides) under Pan troglodytes (chimpanzee). RNAcentral's name for it is "lincRNA". The record is from RNAcentral. Lineage: Eukaryota; Metazoa; Chordata; Mammalia; Primates; Hominidae.